Molecule: non-coding RNA, 95 nt
Organism: Chelonoidis abingdonii (Abingdon island giant tortoise)
Lineage: Eukaryota; Metazoa; Chordata; Testudines; Testudinidae
Source: RefSeq, a predicted model, not a curated record
AGUACUAGGGUCGACCGGAGAGUGAUCUGCGGUUGAUUUGGUGGGUCUUCACUAGACCCACUAAAUCAACUCCCAAUGCAGCGCUCUCCACGCUG